AGGGAAUUGAAGUUUCUUUUUCGUUCAAGCGUCCCCUCUUGUUCUCUCGUCGACUGCCCCAUCACCAUCUUCUUCCUCUUCUUUUUUCUCCGCUAGGGCGCAACAACAAUCAUCCCAAAUUUCGUGCUCCUUCCUCUUCUCCCUCUGAACCUCUUUCCCUCGUCGGUUCUCACACUCACAGUAUUUUAUCUGUAAGUUUUUCUAAUCUUUUUGAACUUUAUCGUCGACUUCUCAUGUUGGUUUUUGGGUUCUUGAUUUCUCUUCCAUGCCCCCUAAGUUUACCCUUUUCUCUAAAAAAAAGUUAUCCCCUAAGUUUCCUUUCCUUUCUCUCCCCCUUCAUGAGUUUUUCCUCCAUAGCCUUCAGGAUGAACUACUCCGACAAAAUCGUCCAAGGAAUAAAAACUCUGACUAAUAGCUCCGUUUUUCUCUACCCAAGAUACAUUUCUUCUUCUUCUUAGUUUUUCUCCAUUUUUCUCUGCCAUAAUUUCUCUACCCUAGUUUCAUUUACAAAUCUCACCAUUCAUCACCAUUCGUUUGUCGAUUUGGACUUCAAGUCAAAGAGCGAUCUUGUCGUAUUUCAUCCCGUUGAAUCCCUUUAAGAAACUAUAAUUUUUCCUUCUCAAUCUAUCUUAGUUUUUUUUCUUUCUAAGUUGCUAUGAGAUAGAGAUAGAGAUAAUAAGUAUUGUUGCUGUCUUACUUACCAGUGGAAGCCUUCGAAGCUUUCAAGGAUGUUGUAAGCUUCUACGUCUCUGAACUUAACAUUCUCAGUUGGAAUAUCUUUGCUUAUGUCUCAAUUUGAAGAUUGUUGCAUGUUUUCUCAAGGACAUAGUAAGAUGGUCUAAGACUUACUUUUCCAGGAUUUUCUGUUGGAAUUUGGUUGCUCCAAAACAUUGAAGAUUGGAUAUAAAAUAUAGCCAAGAUGCAGUUUUACUGCUUUCUUUGAUGAACUUGCCUAAUGGUAUUUGAGUAUUGGAGUAUUCCCUUUUGUUAUGGAAAUAAUAGUGCUUAUUGUUGCACCAUACUAUGAAUUAGCUAUGCUUUUUGAAAAAUAUUUGCUGCAACUGAUUCCCUCUCUGUCUAAGAACGGUUCCGUUUGUUGUAACCCUUGAUUAAUCAUACUAUUUUAUUUCUAAAGGAAGCGAACUACUAUUGAUGAACAUAACAUGCAGAGCAUUUUUUAAGAAGCAGAAGUAGUUUUGUAAGGAAGGUUUUGAAAUGGUCUUCCAAUGAUGUGAUGUAUUCAUGCUCUCUUGCUGGGAACUGUGGUCUUGCAGAGCAACCAAUGUAACAGGUUUUGCAAGAAUCCAUUGGAGCAAUGAAGCCAUAUUGGAGCAAUUGAUUGAUUUCUAGGCCUUUUUGUAGGUUUGGUAGAAAAUUUUUGGUUGAAAUAUACUAUUUAAAUAACUUGUUGGUACCAAAACAUGUAUGUUCAUUCUAUCAUUGUACAAACCCUUUACCAUCAAUUAUACAAAUACUACAAAGUGUAUGUUAAUGUAUAUAUAUUAAAGCGUGGACAGUUUGUUUCCA
Cucumis melo (muskmelon) is the source of this 1527-nucleotide long non-coding RNA. RefSeq lists it as uncharacterized. Lineage: Eukaryota; Viridiplantae; Streptophyta; Magnoliopsida; Cucurbitales; Cucurbitaceae. The transcript has 3 exons. The record is from RefSeq and is a predicted model, not a curated record.